AUUGAACGCUGGCGGCAUGCUUUACACAUGCAAGUCGAACGGUAACAGGCCGCAAGGUGCUGACGAGUGGCGAACGGGUGAGUAAUGCAUCGGAACGUGCCCAGUCGUGGGGGAUAACUACUCGAAAGAGUAGCUAAUACCGCAUACGAUCUAUGGAUGAAAGCGGGGGACCGUAAGGCCUCGCGCGAUUGGAGCGGCCGAUGUCAGAUUAGGUAGUUGGUGGGGUAAAGGCUCACCAAGCCAACGAUCUGUAGCUGGUCUGAGAGGACGACCAGCCACACUGGGACUGAGACACGGCCCAGACUCCUACGGGAGGCAGCAGUGGGGAAUUUUGGACAAUGGGCGCAAGCCUGAUCCAGCAAUGCCGCGUGCAGGAAGAAGACCUUCGGGUUGUAAACUGCUUUUGUACGGAACGAAACGGCUCUGGUUAAUACCCGGGGCUAAUGACGGUACCGUAAGAAUAAGCACCGGCUAACUACGUG
This 482-nucleotide ribosomal RNA is filed under the name uncultured bacterium. RNAcentral describes it as "partial 16S ribosomal RNA". It matches the Rfam family "Bacterial small subunit ribosomal RNA", at positions 30 to 507 of the family's 1533-position model. The record is from RNAcentral.